GACACCGUCACCAGCUGGACCAUCCGCGGCCCUGGACCAUCCAGCGAAGGCCGUGACGCCGUCACCAGCUGGACCAUCCGCGGCUUUGGACCAUCCAGCGACGGCCGUGACGCCGCCACCAGCUGGACUAUCCGCGGCACUGGACCAUCCAGCGACGGCCGUGACGCCGCCACCAGCUGGACCAUCCGCGGCACUGGACCAUCCAGCGACGGCCGUGACGCCGUCACCAGCUGGACCAUCCGCGGCUUUGGACCAUCCAGCGACGGCCGUGACGCCGUCACCAGCUGGACCAUCCGCGGCUUUGGACCAUCCAGCGACGGCCGUGACGCCGCCACCAGCUGGACCAUCCGCGGCCCUGGACCAUCCAGCGACGGCCGUGACGCCGCUACCAGCUGGACCAUCCGCGGCACUGGACCAUCCAGCGACGGCCGUGACGCCGCCACCAGCUGGACCAUCCGCGGCACUGGACCAUCCAGCGACGGCCGUGACGCCGUCACCAGCUGGACCAUCCGCGGCACUGGACCAUCCAGCGACGGCCAUGGCGUCGACUCUGCCGGUGCCGGAGACGACGGCGACGUCACCUGCGCCGCUGGUGUCAACACCGCAUGGACACCAGCUGCGAGCUGGUAAACGGCGGUGGAGUGGAAGCAGAGCGCGCAAGCCACCAGCCAGCUGACGCAGAGCCCAGAGGGCGUUCGCCACCAACAUCCGCACGGCGCAGCUGCAAAGAUGAUUUCUGCCAUGGAGCAGCAUCCGCGGCUCCAUGACAUCAUCCUUCCAUCAUUCUCCAUCAUCAUUCCCGGAGCUCACCCGGCGGCGGAGCCGGCGACGCCCGCGCCCCGCCUGGCCGUCCAGCCUGCGCGCUCCGCCGCGCGCCGCGGGCCCGGCUCGCCGAGACGUCCGGCUUAGGUCGGCGUUUGAGGCGCGGCGGGGGGCACCGUCUCUGUGCCCUGCUCCGGGUCCCCGCCGCCUGCGGUCUCUUCUGCUGCCGCCACUGAGGGGAGCGGCUCUUCUUUGAAGACGGCAUCGGUCGACGGUGAUGCUGGCGGGCCGGUGGCGGCGUGCCCCGUCGGCAGCGCGCCUCGGGAGGACGCUGGUGACGACGAAUCUUCAUUGCCGUCGGCACCGGUCGCGAGCGAGUCGCUGUUUAGUUGGCCUGCUACAGGCUUUGCUGUGCCAAAAAGUGCGACUGUGGCCAGACUGGUAUACGAUUUGUCAGUGCUUACGCCCCUCUUGCCGUGCCGGCCGUGCUCUUUGCCGUCUAUUGAGGAUGCGUUAGAGUUAUCGUUUUGGGGUUUUAUACCGGUAUCAAGAUUGAUUUAAAAGAUGGAUUUCAUCACAUUCCACACGUCCUUUUGGUGUUUUGUAUGAUGGUAAAACGUACUUAUACCUUUUCUCUGUUACCAAUGGGCCCUAUUAGGUACUGCAUCUCAUGCAUUAUUAGGUAGAGAUGCAGUACCAUUAUUAGGUACUGCAUUAUUAGGUACUGAAGGAGAUGCAGUUAGGUACUGCAGCAGUACCUAACAGAUGCUUUCAGUGAACUUGUAGAGUCGAGAUUUAACGUCAGGUGUGAGGUGUUUGGCGUAUUUAGAUGAUUUUCUUUUUAUGUCCAAGGACGCUGAAUGGUAUCGCUGCGUUUCUGACUAGUGUUGGGUUGUGUAUUAAUUUCAAUAAAUUAGUUCUCGUUCCGUC
RNAcentral lists this long non-coding RNA (1692 nucleotides) under Amphibalanus amphitrite. RNAcentral describes it as "uncharacterized LOC122376737". The record is from RNAcentral. Lineage: Eukaryota; Metazoa; Arthropoda; Thecostraca; Balanomorpha; Balanidae.